AUUGAACGCUGGCGGCAUGCCUUACACAUGCAAGUCGAACGGUAACGCGGGGCAACCUGGCGACGAGUGGCGAACGGGUGAGUAACGCAUCGGAACGUGCCCAGUAGUGGGGGAUAGCCCGGCGAAAGCCGGAUUGAUACCGCAUACGACCUACGGGUGAAAGAGGGGGAUCGCAAGACCUCUCGCUAUUGGAGCGGCCGAUGUCAGAUUAGGUAGUUGGUGGGGUAAAAGCCUACCAAGCCUACGAUCUGGAGCUGGUCUGAGAGGACGACCAGCCCCACUGGGACUGAGACACGGCCCAGACUCCUACGGGAGGCAGCAGUGGGGAAUUUUGGACAAUGGGGGCAAGCCUGAUCCAGCCAUGCCGCGUGCGGGAAGAAGGCCUUCGGGUUGUAAACCGCUUUUGUCAGGGAAGAAACGCUCUGGACUAAUACUCUGGGGUAAUGACGGUACCUGAAGAAUAAGCACCGGCUAACUACGUGCCAGCCGCCGCCGUAA
Molecule: ribosomal RNA, 498 nt
Filed under: uncultured bacterium
Lineage: Bacteria
Description: partial 16S ribosomal RNA
Rfam family: Bacterial small subunit ribosomal RNA
Source: RNAcentral